GUGAAGCUGAGAGGUUUAACUGGCAAAUUGUGCUUUAAAGUAAUUUUGAAAGGCAGAGACAGGAAGAUCUCACCUGGUCAAAAUUUGGAUUGGAGUUACUAUAAAGGCUGUGUGAAGCUGAGAGGUUUAACUGGCGUUUCCAGUCCGUCACAGGCUUUUAUUUUAAAAUUGUGCUGUGCUUUUAUUUUGAAAGGCAGAGAUGGGAAGAUCUCACCUGGUCAAAAUUUGGACUGGAGUUAUUGUAAAGGCUGUGUGAAGCUGAGAGGUUUAACUGGCGUUUCCAGUCCGUCACAGGCUUUUAUUUUAAAAUUGUGCUGUGCUUUUAUUUUGAAAGGGAAAGACAGGAAGAUCUCACCUGGUCAACAUUUGGAUUGGAGUUACUCUAAAGCAGGGGUGUCUCACUCAGUUCCUGGAGGUCCACUAGCCUCUAUGUUCUAGAUGUUUCCUUCUUACAACACACCUGAUUCAAAUGAUUAGCCAUCAUUAAGCUCAGCAGAAGCCUGAUAACGAGCCUGAUCAUUUGAAUCAGGUGUGUUAUAACUGAGUUUGACACCCCUGCUCUAAAGGCUGUGUGAAGCUGAGAGGUUGAACUGAUUUUCAGGCUGAAAUGCAGCUCCUGUGGAGGUAUUGGGUGUGAAGGUGGGUGUGGCACACCAAUGAGUCUGUGUGUGUGCGUGGGAGCAUGCCUGCGCGUGUGUAAGGGCGGUUGCUAUGGGCCCCAUAGCAACGGUGCCUGCCACAGACAGCAAAAAAGUGCUUUUCAGAAGCAGCGCGCAACGUCUCGUUCUGGCGCUAACUGUGGGCUAACCGUGAAUGCUAGCUGAAAACUAAAAUGACCGUGAGCGAGAGGAAGGCUGUGGCUUUCCAUAAAUGUAAUUAUUUUUCAAAUAUUGUGAGAAAUGACCGAGUUACAGCGAUUUAAAAAACACUGUCCCUCCAUGAGGCAGAUGAUUCAGUUUACAUUGGUUCUUAUGGAGAGACCGGUGCGACUUUGGUGUAAACUGCUGCCUGCCAUUUCACUUCAGAAAGAGCGAGAUCUUCAAACUUGGAUUCAUUUGAAUCUCAGGAAAAUUGUUUACAAUCUGACCAAAUUUCAUUGUCCUAUCUCUUAUGGUUUGGUCGUGAGGGCGAUGCGAUCGGGAAAUUUUCAGGCGAAUUUUUCACCUCUCCUCCACUCUACCAACUGACAUGCCGCACUCUAACCAGAGCAGAUUUUGAGAAUUUUCACUUUUUUGAGGACUCACUGAUGAAAAACUGUAAAUCUCAGCCUCACAUAAAAUACAUUCCUGCGAAGACAAGAAAAAUCACUGCGUUUUGAUGGUUAAAUGAAGUUUCUAGGUGACCGUAUGGCGAAGCAGUGGCGUUUGGAAAAAAGUUGAUUUUUUGAGCCGAUUUUUUUCACUCCCCAUUCAUUUCCUAUGGGACUUUUGUCGCAGUUUUUUGCGAAUAAUUCUGCGAAAAAAUGACGAAUUUCUUAGAAAAGUCAUAGCCCGGGAUUCCCGAUGAAGCCGCACGUUUUGAUAUAUAAUUUGUUUUGAUUUUCUCAAAGCCCUAGGACGAGUUAGCGACCGAAAAAUGGCGGAAACGUGAAGAAAAUAUAAUAAUAAACGCAGCAGGAGAACAAUAGUGGCUCGUGGCUUCGCCACGAGCCACUCUCCUCCCAUUGCUUUGCAAUGGAGAGGAGAGUGGCUCGUGUCGAAGCCCGAGCCCCUAACUAGACAAUUCCCGCUGGUGCGGAAAUCGUGGGAGGGACUCGGGAUGUGUGCAUGUCCGGAGCUGGGCAGGAGAGAGUUAUUUUUUGGUCCGUCACAGGCUUUUAUUUUCAAAUUGUGCUGUGCUUUUAUUUUGAAAGGUAGAGACAAGAAGAUCUCACCUGGUCAAAAUUUGGAUUGGAGUUACUCAAAAGGCUGUGUGAAGCUGAGAGGUUUAACUGGCAAAUUGUGCUGUAAAGUAAUUUUGAAAGGCAGAGACAGGAAGAUCUCACCUGGUCAAAAUUUGGAUUGGAGUUACUGUAAAGGCUGUGUGAAGCUGAGAGGUUUAACUGGCAUUUCCAGUCUUUCACAGGCUUUUAUUUUGAAAUUGUGCUGUGCUUUUAUUUUGAAAGGCAGAGACAGGAAGAUCUCACCUGGUCAAAAUUUGGAUUGGAGUUACUGUAAAGGCUGUGUGAAGCUGAGAGGUUUAACUGGCGUUUUCCGGUCUGUGGCAGGAUUUUAUUUUGAAAUUUUGCUGUGCUUUUAUUUUGAAAGGCAGAGACAGGAGGAUCUCACCUGGUCAAAAUUUGGAUUGAAGUCACUCCUCAGGAUGUGUGAAGCUGAGAGGUUUACUGUGAUGACCCUGGGUCAUUUUGUGCAGUGUUCAUGUUGAGAAACUUGGUCUCCUCUCCUCCUCCUGUGUGUGUGUGUGCGUGUGAGUGGGUGUGGCUGUCCAGCAGAGUCAGUAGCUGUGACUAGUUCCUGGUGCUGAGGCUGAUUGGGCUGCUGGGAGGAUUGCUGCCACCUGAGAGUCUGCCUGGAGGCUACAAAAACCAGCUGCUGCAACCUGCUCACUCUCUCCUGAUCCGGCCACCCUCGAUGAAGCAGCCUGUUGUCAGCUCUGUGUGUUCAUGUGAUAGUUGGAGACUGAUCCUGUGGUAGGGGCAGGAAGCCCAAA
Acanthochromis polyacanthus (spiny chromis) is the source of this 2649-nucleotide long non-coding RNA. RefSeq lists it as uncharacterized. Lineage: Eukaryota; Metazoa; Chordata; Actinopteri; Pomacentridae. The record is from RefSeq and is a predicted model, not a curated record. The transcript is spliced from 3 exons.